UUGGGCACUCUAAUGAGACUGCCGGUGACAAACCGGAGGAAGUGGGGAUGACGUCAAUCAUCAUGCCCCUUAUGACCUGGGCUACACACGUGCUACAAUGGUUGGUACAACGAGUUGCGAGUCGGUGACGGCGAGCUAAUACUCUUAAAGCCAAUCUCAGUUCGGAUUGUAGGCUGCAACUCGCCUACAUGAAGUCGGAAUCGCUAGUAAUCGCGGAUCAGCACGCCGCGGUGAAUACCGGUUCCCGGGCCUU
Molecule: ribosomal RNA, 253 nt
Filed under: uncultured Streptococcus sp.
Lineage: Bacteria; Bacillati; Bacillota; Bacilli; Lactobacillales; Streptococcaceae
Description: partial 16S ribosomal RNA
Rfam family: Bacterial small subunit ribosomal RNA
Source: RNAcentral